Molecule: long non-coding RNA, 259 nt
Filed under: Mytilus galloprovincialis (Mediterranean mussel)
Lineage: Eukaryota; Metazoa; Mollusca; Bivalvia; Mytilida; Mytilidae
Source: RNAcentral
GUGGGUCUUACAAUUUUGCGUCCGUCCGUCCGUCUGAGUGAUUAAGGUAACAAUUUUGAAAGAUGUAAGCUGUGAUGUCGGAUUAAUAAAUAAUAAACCAAAAUUUCAUCUAAAAAAACCCGUUUAUUUUGAAAUUUGAACUACUAUAAUUUAAAGAGAUAGUAUUUGGGAUUUUGAUCUAUAUGUUACAAAUCACUGUUGAACUAUUAAAUGUAUUAUGGCAAAAAGCGCGACAACCAGUCGUAUCGAAAAAUUCUUU